Molecule: ribosomal RNA, 304 nt
Filed under: uncultured bacterium
Lineage: Bacteria
Description: bacterial SSU rRNA
Rfam family: Bacterial small subunit ribosomal RNA
Source: RNAcentral
GAUGAACGCUAGCGGCAGGCCUAAUACAUGCAAGUCGAACGGAUAUAUGUUUUUCGGAAUAUAUAUUAGUGGCGCACGGGUGAGUAACACGUACAUAACUUGCUUUCAAGCGGGGGAUAGCCUUGGGAAACUGAGAGUAAUACCCCAUAGAAUUAUUGGACGGCAUCGUUUGAUAAUUAAAACUACGGUGCUUGGGGAGUAGAUGUGCGUCUGAUUAGCUAGUUGGUGAGGUAACUAGCUCACCAAGGCGACGAUCAGUAGGGGGCGGUGAGAGCGUGGCCCCCGACCACGGUACGUGAGACAC